This 291-nucleotide long non-coding RNA is filed under the name Elaeis guineensis (African oil palm). RNAcentral describes it as "long non-coding RNA (EGUI_LNC013419)". Lineage: Eukaryota; Viridiplantae; Streptophyta; Magnoliopsida; Arecales; Arecaceae. The record is from RNAcentral.
CAUAUUGAAGGCAUGACUAACACCCGGUGAAGGCACGAUUCCAAACCUGAUUUUGGAUCACCACCCUAAGAUAUUACCAGCCAACUAAGCUGGAACAUUAAAAGAUGAUUAGAAACCAACUUAACUUAAACGGUUCAUUGAGUGUAAUAAUUAACUAACUUAAAAAAAAGGGGCAUCCCGGAUCUUCUCCACAAAAAGAAUCAGUUCCCGUCCCUUUGGAACUGCUGCAGAUUCCAAAGUCAAAAACGCGACCAAAUGGCUGUCUUUCCUCGCCCUUUCACAAACUGCGGC